RNAcentral lists this transfer RNA (65 nucleotides) under Nocardioides ginsengisegetis. RNAcentral's name for it is "tRNA-OTHER". Lineage: Bacteria; Bacillati; Actinomycetota; Actinomycetes; Propionibacteriales; Nocardioidaceae. The record is from RNAcentral.
AUGUCGCGCUCCAGAGCGCGACGCUCCCCCGAACGUCGAUGUCGCGAGUUCGAGUCUCGUCAUCC